UAGGAACUAAAGGAGAAGUUCAUUCCCCUUUAGCUUAGCUCUCAUCGGCGUAUACGUUGGCGUUGUCUCUUUGGUCGGAGCCGCUUGCGUAUACGCUUUUUCUUUUU
This 107-nucleotide antisense RNA is filed under the name Bacillus subtilis subsp. subtilis str. 168. Its description in RNAcentral is "antisense RNA of toxin SpbT". It matches the Rfam family "Bacillus SR6 antitoxin". From Rfam's summary of the family: SR6 acts by promoting yonT mRNA degradation. Lineage: Bacteria; Bacillati; Bacillota; Bacilli; Caryophanales; Bacillaceae. The record is from RNAcentral.